CCUACGGGCGUCAGCAGUGAGGAAUAUUUGUCAAUGGACGAGAGUCUGAACCAGCCAAGUAGCGUGAAGGAUGACUGCCCUAUGGGUUGUAAACUUCUUUUAUAUGGGAAUAAAAUGUUCCACGUGUGGGAUUUUGUAUGUACCAUAUGCAUAAGGAUCGGCUAACUCCGUUCCAGCAGCCGCUGUAAUACGGAGGAUCCGAGCGUUAUCCGGAUUUAUUGGGUUUAAAGGGAGCGUAGGUGGAUUGUUAAGUCAGUUGUGAAAGUUUGCGGCUCAACCGUAAAAUUGCAGUUGAAACUGGCAGUCUUGAGUACAGUAGAGGUGGGCGGAAUUCGUGGUGUAGCGGUGAAAUGCUUAGAUAUCACGAAGAACUCCGAUUGCGAAGGCAGUUCACUGGACUGCAACUGACACUGAGGCUCGAAAGUGUGGGUAUCAAACAGGAUUAGAUACCCGGGUAGUC
Molecule: ribosomal RNA, 460 nt
Filed under: uncultured bacterium
Lineage: Bacteria
Description: partial 16S ribosomal RNA
Rfam family: Bacterial small subunit ribosomal RNA
Source: RNAcentral